GACGAACGCUGGCGGCGUGCUUAACACAUGCAAGUCGAACGGAAAGGCCCUGCUUUUGUGGGGUGCUCGAGUGGCGAACGGGUGAGUAACACGUGAGUAACCUGCCCUUGACUUUGGGAUAACUUCAGGAAACUGGGGCUAAUACCGGAUAGGAGCUCCUGCUGCAUGGUGGGGGUUGGAAAGUUUCGGCGGUUGGGGAUGGACUCGCGGCUUAUCAGCUUGUUGGUGGGGUAGUGGCUUACCAAGGCUUUGACGGGUAGCCGGCCUGAGAGGGUGACCGGCCACAUUGGGACUGAGAUACGGCCCAGAAUCCUAAGGGAGGCAGCAGUGGGGAAUAUUGCACAAUGGGCGGAAGCCUGAUGCAGCAACGCCGCGUGCGGGAUGACGGCCUUCGGGUUGUAAACCGCUUUCGCCUGUGACGAAGCGUGAGUGACGGUAAUGGGUAAAGAAGCACCGGCUAACUACGUG
This 468-nucleotide ribosomal RNA is filed under the name uncultured bacterium. RNAcentral describes it as "partial 16S ribosomal RNA". It matches the Rfam family "Bacterial small subunit ribosomal RNA", at positions 28 to 507 of the family's 1533-position model. The record is from RNAcentral.